GACGAACGCUGGCGGCGUGCCUAAUACAUGCAAGUAGAACGCUGAAGAGAGGAGCUUACUCUUCUUGGAUGAGUUGCGAACGGGUGAGUAACGCGUAGGUAACCUGCCUUGUAGCGGGGGAUAACUAUUGGAAACGAUAGCUAAUACCGCAUAACAAUGGAUGACACAUGUCAUUUAUUUGAAAGGGGCAAUUGCUCCACUACAAGAUGGACCUGCGUUGUAUUAGCUAGUAGGUGAGGUAAUGGCUCACCUAGGCGACGAUACAUAGCCGACCUGAGAGGGUGAUCGGCCACACUGAGACUGAGACACGGCACAGACUCCUACGGGAGGCAGCAGUAGGGAAUCUUCGGCAAUGGGGGCAACCCUGACCGAGAAACGCCCCGUGAGUGAAGAAGGUUUUCGGGUCGUAAAGCUCUGUUGUAAGUCAAGAACGGGUGUGAGAGUGGAAAGUUCACACUGUGACGGUAGCUUACCAGAAAGGGACGGCUAACUACGUG
Molecule: ribosomal RNA, 497 nt
Filed under: uncultured bacterium
Lineage: Bacteria
Description: partial 16S ribosomal RNA
Rfam family: Bacterial small subunit ribosomal RNA
Source: RNAcentral